This 775-nucleotide ribosomal RNA is filed under the name uncultured Neocallimastigales. Its description in RNAcentral is "partial large subunit ribosomal RNA". It matches the Rfam family "Eukaryotic large subunit ribosomal RNA", at positions 24 to 649 of the family's 3401-position model. Lineage: Eukaryota; Fungi; Neocallimastigomycota; Neocallimastigomycetes; Neocallimastigales. The record is from RNAcentral.
UAUGUGAUCGUCUCUCGCAUAUCAAUAAGCGGAGGAAAAGAAACUAACAAGGAUUCCCCUAGUAACGGCGAGUGAAGCGGGAAGAGCUCAAAUUUGAAAUCUUAAAGGGUUUCCCUUUACGAAUUGUAGUUUAAAGAAGUGUUUUCUGUUGAGGUUUUGGUAAAAGGUUCUUUGGAAUAGGACAUCAUAGAGGGUGAGAAUCCCGUAUUUGACCUUUACUUUCAACUUUGUGAUACACUUUCAAAGAGUCGGAUUGUUUGGGAAUGCAGUCCAAAAUGGGUGGUAAAUUUCAUCUAAAGCUAAAUAUUGGCGAGAGACCGAUAGCGAACAAGUACCGUGAGGGAAAGAUGAAAAGAACUUUGAAAAGAGAGUUAAACAGUACGUGAAAUUGUCAAAAGGGAAGCGUUUGACACCAGUGUUGUUUUUCUGAAAAUCAAUUAAAGAACUGUUUAUGCUAAGUUGUUUAGACUUUAUCAGCUAACUGUUUAGUUUUGAGCUUUUCUUUAAUGCACUUUUCAGUUAACAAGUCAACAUCAAUUUCUUUUGCUGUAAAAAAGCUUGAGGAAGGUGGCUUGAGAUUCGUCUUAAGUGUUUAUAGCCUCUUGCCUAUGCAGUCGGAGAGAUUGAGGUCUGCAGCGUAGAUCCUUCGGGGCUAAAUGCAUUUGUGCUAAGUUAUAGCAUUUUAUAGACAACUUGUUGACUAUGAUUUGUCUUGUAGCUUACUCGCUUAUGUUAUUUUACCUACGCUUAGGAUGUUGAGUAGCGACAUACGCAC